Molecule: ribosomal RNA, 603 nt
Filed under: uncultured Actinomycetes bacterium
Lineage: Bacteria; Bacillati; Actinomycetota; Actinomycetes
Description: bacterial SSU rRNA
Rfam family: Bacterial small subunit ribosomal RNA
Source: RNAcentral
UUGUUGGAGAGGUAACGGCUCACCAAGGCAUCGACGGGUAGCUGGUCUGAGAGGAUGAUCAGCCACACUGGAACUGAGACACGGUCCAGACUCCUACGGGAGGCAGCAGUGGGGAAUUUUGCACAAUGGGCGAAAGCCUGAUGCAGCGAUGCCGCGUGCGGGAAGAAGGCCCUAGGGUUGUAAACCGCUUUCAGGAGGGAAGAAAAUGACGGUACCUCCAGAAGAAGGUGCGGCCAACUACGUGCCAGCAGCCGCGGUGACACGUAGGCACCAAGCGUUAUCCGGAUUUAUUGGGCGUAAAGAGCUCGUAAGCGGUUUGGUAAGUCGGGUGUGAAAACUCUGGGCUCAACCCAGAGAGGCCACUCGAUACUGCUAUGACUAGAGUACGGUAGGGGAGCGGGGAAUUCCUGGUGUAGCGGUGAAAUGCGCAGAUAUCAGGAGGAACACCAGCGGCGAAGGCGCCGCUCCGGGCCGUAACUGACGCUGAGGAGCGAAAGCAUGGGUAGCAAACAGGAUUAGAUACCCUGGUAGUCCAUGCCGUAAACGUUGGGCACUAGGUGUGGGUCUCAACCAACGAGAUCCGCGCCGUCGCUAACGCAUUAA